RNAcentral lists this ribosomal RNA (253 nucleotides) under uncultured bacterium. RNAcentral describes it as "partial 16S ribosomal RNA". It matches the Rfam family "Bacterial small subunit ribosomal RNA", at positions 524 to 776 of the family's 1533-position model. The record is from RNAcentral.
UACGUAGGGUCCGAGCGUUGUCCGGAGUUACUGGGCGUAAAGCGCGCGCAGGCGGCCGUCCAAGCCCGGCGUGAAAGCCCCCGGCUCAACCGGGGAGGGUCGUCGGGGACUGGGCGGCUUGAGGACGGCAGGGGUCGGUGGAAUUCCCGGUGUAGUGGUGAAAUGCGUAGAGAUCGGGAGGAACACCCGUGGCGAAGGCGGCCGACUGGGCCGGACCUGACGCUGAGGCGCGAAGGCGUGGGGAGCGAACGGG